AUAUAUAUUUUUUUAUCGAUUGCCUCCAAUUUUUGUAUGAAAAAAUGUUACUUAUGAUUUAGUGUUUUUAUGGCUGUUUUUUUGUCUUCGUGGGGGGCAUUUACGGAACUUCAAUUUGAUCAGGAUCUUAACUUUGUUGCCAAGAAGAUAAAAACUAAAAAACUAUAAAAAGGCUGGUUAAUAUGAAGGCAAAAGACUGUAUUGAAUUUUCCAAGCGUAGGCAGAUUGUCUCAAAUGAAAGUAGCUCGUGUUCGUGUUCUUUCUCCAGGCUCCAGAGGUGAGCCGUCAGCUCGUGUUCGUGUUCUUCGCUACCUGCUACAUGCACUCUGAUCAGGUAAAUGCACAAGCCGGGCAAGUUUUGAUGGAUUCAUAUCCAAGGUUUGCGUUUCAUGUUUUGAAUUUUCACUUUACAUGGCACGUAAUCCGCACACACUCCACGAUCCAUUUACCUAAACGUGUCAAAUGGGUUGGCGGGUAGUGAUCAAGUUGUAAAUGUGUUAAUCGGGUUGGUGGGUUAUAAAAAUGGGUUAAACGGGUUGGCGUUAAAAAUACAAAAAAUUAUCUAAAUCAAAUAAUCUUCACAUAUAAGAAAUUAUUAUUUCUGAUUAUGAUAUUAUUUACUAAAUUUAACACUAUAUAAAUGUACUCAAAAUAAAUUAUUUUUAUGAUUCACAUUAAACUUAAAGUAUAAAUAAUAAGUAUACAAUAUAUUCAUAUUGCUAAAAUCUCUUUAAUUUCUAUUACUACCAUAGAUGGGAAGGUUGAGGUUUAUGGGGGACUCUUAAAAGUGGGGAACCAACUCAAACGAACUACGAUUAAACUUAUUUCAGAGGUGUUGGAACCAUCUUGUCGAACCCUAUGUAUAUUUAUUUAGGGUUUAGCUUUAAUUGGUUAAAGUUUAGCUUUUAAGGUUUAACUUUAGGAGUUAGCAUUAGAGUUUAGGGUUUAGCUUUAGCAUUUAGGAUUUAGCUUUGGGGUUUAGGAUUUUAGGGUUCGACGAGCCGGUUCCUACGCCACUUGAAUGAGUUCAAUUGAAGUUUUUUUUAGCCGGUUGCUCAAUUUUUUGGGGUUCCCCAAUCAAACCACCCUUAUAUAGUAAAAGUCUACUUAACCUUACUGUCACAGUAUCAUAAAGUAUUAUUAUUAUAUAAAAACAUCAUGUUUUUUUUUAAACUUCUAUUGUUAUGAUAUGGUAAAAUCUACUUGUAAGAAGAUGUAACCUCUCUUGUGAUCCUUUAGCAAUACAUGGGUUUCCCGUGACUAUGUUGAAAUAGAAUCUCUUGAUCUUUUUUCGUAAGAUAUUGUUUUAUGUGAAUCAUAUGUAUAAACAAGCAUAUUAUGUAUAAAAUAAACAUUUUUAUUUAGCU
Long non-coding RNA from Helianthus annuus (common sunflower), 1367 nucleotides. RefSeq lists it as uncharacterized. NCBI's taxonomy places the organism in Eukaryota, Viridiplantae, Streptophyta, Magnoliopsida, Asterales, Asteraceae. The transcript has 3 exons. The record is from RefSeq and is a predicted model, not a curated record.